Long non-coding RNA from Phymastichus coffea, 3157 nucleotides. RefSeq lists it as uncharacterized. The transcript is spliced from 3 exons. Lineage: Eukaryota; Metazoa; Arthropoda; Insecta; Hymenoptera; Eulophidae. The record is from RefSeq and is a predicted model, not a curated record.
AUUAAACUAGAUUAGAUUAGACUUUGUUUUCAUCCUUGAGGUAAAAUCCCGUGUGAUUACAGUACUGUAAAUAUAGCCUACGAAAUACAUAGUAUAAGAGAGCGAAUGAUAUCUUAACGACGCAUAAACAAUUGAACGACGGAAAUAGUAAAGCAAAUAACAAAAUUAUAAACGAAUAUACCACAAGUAGACAAAAAUAAAAUAAAUAAAUAAUGAAACAGACGCAGCAACGGAUCAGUGAUUAUAACGCACGCUAGUAAUACGGAAGGUAAGAAGUAGAUAAAAUAAAAAAAUACAGAUACAAAAAUGCAGGUGCAUAUAACAAGGAGAAGAGAUGAGGAGACGAGAGAGGCUUGAGCAUUCAAAAAAUCUGAGCAAGCUUUUAUAAAUUUUCUUUGAUAUGCGUAUAAUGAAUGCUAUAAUGAACGACAUUGAACGAGUGAUGCACACUGCAGAGAGAAGUGUAAACGCGUCAGAGUUUGCAAAUAACGCUUAAGCACAAACCUGGGCUCGAGUUGUGCAGUCUUCAGUAAAUUAAAGAGAGAGAAAGAGAGUAGAGGUACGAUUUGAGUUCCCAAGUCUGCCCAGGAAGAAGUCCUAAACAGACAACUAAUUUAAGAGAUCUACACCAUGUACGACGAAUGAGCGCUUCCAGGCCUAAAUCCAGAAGGCACGGAUGUGGAAGGCAAUUGGAGAGUUUCUUACGAAUCUGCGUGCCACAACGUUCCUCAAGAGCAGAGAUUCGUAGGCAGGUAGGAGAAAAUACCGAUAUCUAUAGACAGCUUUGUAGAGGAGAAUAGUCGGCGUAAGGUGCCUACAAGAGUUUAAGGUUAGUAAACCCAGUUUUAGUCGGUGAAAGAAGAUAUAAGUAGUAAGGUUAUUGCUUGGGAUGAAGGUGAUGAAGCCGUCCAUGAAAUUGAAGCAGGCGUUAUGAAUAAAUUGUAGCUCACCGAGAUGAGUCCUGUCAACAUCCAUGUAGAUGAUUGAAGUAUAAUUAUUAUGAGGCAGAACCAACAUCUGAACAAGGGUAGCUGACAGCAUGAUUUCCAGACUUUUAACGAUGGUCAAGUACGGGGUCCCUCUUGAAAAUAUUCAGUAAGUUCUUAUAUAAGAAUUUACUCGAUAAGGUGAACAAAGAAUUUCGUAGGAUGAGUGAAACUUCCUUUGAUCAUAAUCCUUAGAAUGGUGCCGAGGUUAGUUGAGGAAAUGUAGAGUUCGCAGUCCAGGAUGAUGACCUUCGUCUUCGUAAGGUUAAACGCCGUAGUCCAUUCGACGUCAGCUAAACAGCCACGCUUUGAGCAUACCGUUGCGCCCUAUCGAUGCCAUCAAGAAUAUCAUAGGGGAAACUAUGAACGUAUAUUUGAGUAUCAUUAGCAUAAAUCAUAUGUUUAGAAUAUAAUGGAGGACAUUUAAGAGGUCUUUGAUGUAUAUGACGAAUAAGAGGGGACCAAGGACGUUGCCCUAAGCCCCUCAGCCACUAGGAAAUGGUACUUGCCCCAUCAAUGAUUGUCUAAAACCUACCCACUAGAUAGUUAAAGAAUCAAAGAGAGAAAGAGAGAGAGAGAGAGAGAGAGAGAGAGAGAGAGAGAGAAGAAAACUUCGUGGAAAUAACCAAUCGUAGCAGCUGUACGUACCAGCAAUUUAUUUUCUCGUACUUUGGUACCAAAGUGGGUACGGUCAGAAAUUGUGUCGGAUAAAGGCUCGGGUAAUGUCCCUCAAAGUAGCAAUAAUAUCGUUUUCAAAACGCUCUACAAGAAUAACCUAGAGGGUUGGGUUGCUGGUACGUUGUUGGAUUCGAACUUUAGUAACAUGCUGUUUGUUCAUCAGCUGGUACAAUUUAAAAAAUUAAUUUAAUAAAAUAAUUUUCAUUGAAAAUGGUCUAAAUUUCUAGAAAGUUCCUAUAAGGUUCCGAUUAAUUUAUUCAAUAGAUGGCACAGUCUUUCUCGCAAGUGGUAGGAAAUUAUUAUAAUUAGUAUAUGUACAGUUUUCAAACGAUAUAUUGUAAAAAGAAAUGCGAAGAAGUUAAAUAUUUACAGUUACACUAGGAACUAUAAAUAUCUUUUCAUAUACGUAGGUUUAUUAAAAAAAUAUUUUAUUUACUAAUUAUAUUUUGAUAUAUACCCGCAUAGUUCCAGCUAUGUACCUAACACAUUUCCAAAAUUUGAAUCUGGCAACGUACGGACAACCGUUUAGGCAAUUAUUGCACAAUGUUCCGGCAUCUUUUUGCUACUUCAGAAGACAUUGUUUGCUGUUACUGUUAUAUUGCUCAUACAUUGCUCAUACUGUUACAUAUAUAGGAAAAUUUCUGACCAUACCUAUUUUGGUACUAAAGUACCAGAAAAAAUAUUGCCGGUACAUAGCACUGAGACUGAGACGCUAUAGAGCUCAACUUACUUUGUUAGAUCAUAUUAUAAUUAGUUGAAUUAUAUGUCUUGAAUAGGAAUCACCCGUAACCCACUGAUAAGUUCUAACGAUUGAAGAUGGGUUCGCAAAGACUUGAGCGAUAAUGACUGAUAAAUACGCUUAAAUCAUUGCAAUGGGAAGGUAGAGUAUGUUAACUUUAUCAUUAGAGCACGUGUACAUUAAGAAUUGAAAAAGAAUCGGCGCACAGGAAAAAAUGUAAUGUUGCAGUCUUAGUAUUAGAUUUCCAGCAUUGAAACUGUGAAGUCAAAUUAAAAGGCUAAACGUUAUUUUCAUGCAGUUUUAUACUCUUGCCUCUAUCCAAAUUUUACUUAAAAAAAAACCCUGAAGAAAAAGAAGACAAGUUUCUAUUAUUACAUUAUUGUAGCACCAAAGAUUAGAGAGACUUAAAAACUUGUCGCAUAUGAAUAACGUCGGCUUUUCGCCUUGACUUUAUAAGUAACCAGUACACGUGCAUUCCAAUGCUACAGCUCUAACGCCGAAGCUAUAAUGCUAUUCAUUCAAUGUUCGAUCAAAUGAUAACAUUUAAUCCUGUAAUGCUGCAAGUUCUGUAGAAAACAUCUUCGGCGUAGACUCUCAUUCUCGACGCGAACCGAAAGCGUAAGUAGCGAGACGAAAUAUAGUUCACUGCCGGUCACGUACUUUUAAACCCCCAAUCCCUAGGCAAAAUCAGACAAAUUUGUAGUUUUUUUAUCUCUGGAAUGACAUAACUUACAGAAAUGAGCCAGGAUUUGUU